RNAcentral lists this ribosomal RNA (460 nucleotides) under uncultured bacterium. RNAcentral's name for it is "partial 16S ribosomal RNA". It matches the Rfam family "Bacterial small subunit ribosomal RNA", at positions 338 to 795 of the family's 1533-position model. The record is from RNAcentral.
CCUACGGGAGACAGCAGUGAGGAAUAUUGGUCAAUGGGCGCGAGCCUGAACCAGCCAAGUAGCGUGAAGGAUGACUGCCCUACGGGUUGUAAACUUCUUUUAUAAAGGAAUAAAGUGAGGCACGUGUGCCUUUUUGUAUGUACUUUAUGAAUAAGGAUCGGCUAACUCCGUGCCAGCAGCCUCGGUAAUACGGAGGAUCCGAGCUUUAUCCGGAUUUAAUGGGUUUAAAGGGAGCGUAGAUGGGUUGUUUAGUUAGUUGUGAAAAUUUGCGGCUCAACCGUACAAUUGCAAUUGAUACUGGCAGUCUUGAGUACAGUUGAGGUAAGCGGAAUUCGUGGUGUAGCGGUGAAAUGCUUAGAUAUAACGAAGAACUCCGAUUGCGAAGGCAGCUUACUAAACUGACACUGACAUUGAUGCUCGAAAGUGUGGGUAUCAAACAGGAUUAGAUACCCCGGUAGUC